RNAcentral lists this ribosomal RNA (427 nucleotides) under uncultured bacterium. RNAcentral's name for it is "partial 16S ribosomal RNA". It matches the Rfam family "Bacterial small subunit ribosomal RNA", at positions 354 to 796 of the family's 1533-position model. The record is from RNAcentral.
GUGGGGAAUAUUGGGCAAUGGGGGCAACCCUGACCCAGCGACGCCGCGUGAGGGAAGACGGCCUUCGGAUUGUAAACCUCUUUUGUACGGGAAGAAGGAAGUGACGGUACUGUACGAAUAAGUCCCGGCUAACUACGUGCCAGCAGCCGCGGUAAUACGUAGGGGACGAGCGUUGUCCGGAAUUACUGGGCGUAAAGGGCGCGCAGGCUGUGCUGCAAGUCAGCUGUGAAAUGUCUGGGCUUAACCCGGGCAUGCGGUUGAGACUGCAGUGCUGGAGUGCUGUAGAGGCAAGUGGAAUUCCCAGUGUAGCGGUGAAAUGCGUAGAUAUUGGGAAGAACACCGGUGGCGAAGGCGACUUGCUGGGCAGCAACUGACGCUGAGGCGCGAAAGCCAGGGGAGCAAACGGGAUUAGAAACCCUGGUAGUCC